GAUGAACGCUGACAGCAUGCUUAACACAUGCAAGUCAACUUGACUUUGGGUUUUUAACUUAGGUUUGGGUUGCGGACGGGUGAGUAACGCGUAAAGAACUUGCCUCACAGCUAGGGACAACAUUUGUAAACGAAUGCUAAUUCCUAAUAUUAUGAUAUUAGGGCAUCCUAUUUUUAUGAAAGCUAUAAGCGCUGUGAUAGAGUUUUGCGUCCAAGUAGCUAGUUGGCGAGGUAACGGCUCGCCAAGGCGAUGAUGGGUAGCCAGCCUGAGAGGGUGAUCGGCCACAAGGGCACUGAGGAAGCGCCCGUACGCCUACGGGAGGCAGGAGUGAAAAAUAGUGGAAAAAGGACCAAGAGAGUGAUCCAGCAAUUCUGUGUGCAAGAUGAAGUUUUUCGGGAUGUAAAGAGGUUUCAGUUAGGAAGAAAGAAAUGACGGUACCAACAGAAGAAGUGACGGCUAAAUACGUG
RNAcentral lists this ribosomal RNA (467 nucleotides) under uncultured bacterium. RNAcentral's name for it is "partial 16S ribosomal RNA". It matches the Rfam family "Bacterial small subunit ribosomal RNA", at positions 28 to 507 of the family's 1533-position model. The record is from RNAcentral.